Molecule: ribosomal RNA, 302 nt
Filed under: Clostridioides difficile
Lineage: Bacteria; Bacillati; Bacillota; Clostridia; Peptostreptococcales; Peptostreptococcaceae
Description: partial 23S ribosomal RNA
Rfam family: Bacterial large subunit ribosomal RNA
Source: RNAcentral
GGUCAAGUUAUUAAGGGUGCAGGGCGGAUGCCUUGGCACUAGGAGCCGAUGAAGGACGUGAUAAGCUGCGAUAAGCUUCGGGGAGUUGCACGUAAACUUUGAUCCGAAGAUUUCCGAAUGAGGAAACUCACUUAGAGUAAUGUCUAAGUAUCAUUAAGUGAAUACAUAGCUUAAUGAGGGGAACUCAGGGAACUGAAACAUCUAAGUACCUGAAGGAAGAGAAAGAAAUUCGAUUCCGUAAGUAGCGGCGAGCGAACGCGGAUUAGCCCAAACCAAUAAAGUUUUCUUUAUUGGGGUUGCGG